Molecule: long non-coding RNA, 168 nt
Organism: Asparagus officinalis (garden asparagus)
Lineage: Eukaryota; Viridiplantae; Streptophyta; Magnoliopsida; Asparagales; Asparagaceae
Exons: 3
Source: RefSeq, a predicted model, not a curated record
GUCUAAAUGAUGUUAUUAGACAGAUAGUAUUUACUCUUGAAAAGUAUGGGGUUAAAAAUAUAGUCGGAAUACCAUUUGGCUAUCGCGGAUUCUUUGAUGAAAGAUUGUCAGAGAUGCCUCUUUCCCGUCGAGUGGUGCAGAACUUAAAUCUAAAUGGCGGAAGUUUUU